RNA transcript from Myripristis murdjan (pinecone soldierfish), 2782 nucleotides. It is a transcript of the gene named putative nuclease HARBI1, with no coding region annotated. The record is from RefSeq and is a predicted model, not a curated record. NCBI's taxonomy places the organism in Eukaryota, Metazoa, Chordata, Actinopteri, Holocentriformes, Holocentridae. The transcript has 3 exons.
GUACAUCAUUUGCCGAUCACCAUAAAAAUAGAAAGAAGAAGAAGGAUUAUACUUCCAUAAGAAAAAACGCGCUUCCCUGUAAUUUGUGUUCGUUGCUGCCACUUCCUCGUCAUCAAGCAGGUUUUUGGGAACCUGGUGAAAGUAACAUAUGCACUGCAGGUUGUUUCAUUAUCGCGCAAUGGCCUUUGCACUUCCGGUUUGGUUUGCGGUGCAACAUGAGCUCAUUGAGAGCGGCGGCGCGGACGGAGCAUCGCCGGGAUGUUUCGACGAUUUCGACGACGAAGCUUUGUUUACAACUUUCCACCUCACCAGGCCUUGCAUUACAUUCAUCGCGGACAACAUCCGCCUCCGCUUGAAGAGGGAGACCACCAAGGCCCCCGUGGAUGCGAUGGUCAUGGUUACGCUGAACUAUUACGCACAGGGGGUGUCGUCGGUGUCAGUCCAGGAGAAAGCCGGCAUCAACCAGUCAGACUGCGCCGAGAUCAUUAAUACAGUGUCCAAAGUUAUGGCAACCAUGGCCGACCAGUUCAUUUCCUUCCCGGUCACUCGGGACGCCCGGGCUAAUGUCGCCCACAAGAUCGAGAAGUUCUGCGGGAUCCCCAGGGUGCUGGGCGUCCUCGCCACCGCCCACUUCAAGGUCCGAGCCUCUCCGUACGAGAAGGACGCUUUCCGCUCGUUUCUCAACACCCGGGGCUACACUUCAGUCAUGAGCCAGGUCAUGUGUGACUGCGACGGAAACAUACUGAGUGUGGAGAAGUGUUGCACGGGCAGCACAUGUGAGCAGGAGAUGUGGGACUCCUCUUUUAAAGGGAGGGAGAUGGAGGAGGGCAUGCACGGCCAGUACUGGGUUAUUGGUGGUAGAGGCUACAGCUUGAGCACGCACAUCUUGACUGCUGUGUCCAACCCAACAAAUGACAAGGAGUUCUCCUUUAACCAGGCCCAUGCCAAGAUCCUUGACGUCAUGCGGACAACGCUUGGCUCCAUCAAGACGCGAUUCAGGUGCUUGAUGCAGCUCGGUUUUGCACAUGAGGCCUCUUUGGACAAAAAGGCUGACAUUAUCAAGGCGUGUUGUGUCCUGCACAACAUCGCCAAGAAGUUCUCAGUUCCUGCUCCACUUAUGGCUGGUAAAAUUGAGCCUUUGCACCCAGGGAAACAACAUCAGGCGCCAGAAGUGGAGAUCAAGCCUGAGGCCCUGAAAGCCAGACAGGAUCUCAUCAAUAUUAAGUUCUCUGUUGCUGUCCCCAGUAGUGAAGACUAAUAUUGUGGAGUACGCGUGACGAGAGUGGGCAAGCUCCCUGCAUCUUUUCCUUAAGACACAAAGCAGGCACAGAGGAACAGAUGAAGCAACAGAUAAGGUCAAAUGUUGGAACUGAACCCAGGGAGUUCAUGAUGCACUGGUGCAGGAAGACGUACUGGGACUGGAAACAGAGACCAGAGUUACUGCUGUCCGUUGACAAGCAACAUUUAUAAGCCGAAUGUGUUUACAUGCACACAGUAUUCUGGCUGAUACUUUAUAUCCUAAUUAAGAUGUUUUUCAGGACGACCCGUUUCUCGGGUAACACUUGACUCGGUUGGAAUUUCAUGGUAAGUAGGUGAUAAUUGGGAAGUAAUGUAUUUGAAAGUUCUCUGCAAUUACCCCAAAAUUAUAUCAACAUUAACGUCAAACUGAACCUUUUACUUUUAUUGUAUCAUCAAAUUCAUGCUUUGGAUAAAUGGUUCGAAUCCAUUAGAUCAUAAAAAUGAAAUCCGAGUUGCAACAGGUCAUGGAAUUUCUGGAAUAUCAUGAGAUCCAAAGACUGCCUUUACAUGUGCAACUUCAGUUCUGUGCAGUUUAGUUGUAUUGGAGUUCUACUGGAAAACAACUGAAUAAAAAUCUAAUUUGGUUUGCAACAUCAUUUGGAAUGCUUAGAAUAAAUGGUGACAUCAUAAAAAUAAAACUUUCCAUUUUCAACUAAUUUUGAGGCAGAUACUGGGUAAUUUCAAAGAAAUUUUGCUAAUUCCCACCUACUUACCAUGAAAGUCAUGGCCCACUAAAAUGAAGUGUUACCGGUUCUUGCAUUAAUCCUGAACAGCAAAUGGUGAACAGGAUGUGUGUGGUCAUGCUUUAGUUUUCUGUUAAUAUUGGCAGGGCCCAGUUAUGCCAGUAUUAUUAUGCCGGUUGAUUUUCUCAUAAUUAAGGUAUGAACAAAUAAGACUGUACAAGGUGUUUAGAUGAGGCAACUGAAAAUGAGAGCUUCAGUCUCCCGUAGAAGAAUAAUGUGCAUGUGAACACACUCCUUGGAGCUUUGGUACUGAGGGAUGUCACAAGGAUCGAUGCCAAAGUACCAAGUUAAGACCAAAACGACGCUAUUCAACACAACUUGAUACCUCACUUUGCAACCCAGUGUUGUCUAACGUAAUGCAGCCUUAGCCUGUGUGUGUAAAUACUUGAAAUGUGUAAAGUUGCAGUCGUGCUCACAGGACUGUGAAUCUUAAUGAGAGCAGGUAAUGCAGACCUUUGUGUUUGUUGUUUGAAAAACAUUUCAUACAGUUCCUCUGAUUAGAAACUAGUAUUUUGUUGGGCUGCUUUGUUUUCUACUUUCUACUUGAUUUUUUUUUUUCUUUUUUUUUUUUCGGCUGUAACCUAUAUGUACGCAUAAAGUUUCUGUUUACUUGUUCAUGUUUAUACAAAGCUUUUAAAUAAAGGGGUGUAUGCUGAACAGAAUUUCUGUUAUUGUCAUGCUGUUGAGUCAGAUAUCAGAGAAUCAUGGAACUUCCCCAGUAUUUGUAUCAAGUACCAAAC